AAAUGGUGACUAACCUCGCCCUUUGCAA
This 28-nucleotide transfer RNA is filed under the name Craugastor ranoides. RNAcentral describes it as "partial tRNA-Met". The record is from RNAcentral. Lineage: Eukaryota; Metazoa; Chordata; Amphibia; Anura; Craugastoridae.